RNAcentral lists this long non-coding RNA (297 nucleotides) under Fragaria vesca (wild strawberry). RNAcentral describes it as "long non-coding RNA (FVES_LNC001800)". The record is from RNAcentral. Lineage: Eukaryota; Viridiplantae; Streptophyta; Magnoliopsida; Rosales; Rosaceae.
CCAAAUCGAUUCGCUGGUUAAAUAGACAGUUGAAUCUGCAAUCAACAAUUCUGAUACCAAUAUUUUACUCACUGGGUUUUAGUUUGCUCUGCUCCCCAACAAAUCUGUGUGAGUUCCACAGAAAUUUAUCACCAAAGCUAGUAAAGGAAAAAGAAUCAUAUACCACAGAAUAGAAAUAACUGAACAAUACCUUUUAUUACCAAAGGCAGCCAAAUUGAAAAAAAACAGUAUCUUUCUUUCUUUCAUCACACAAUCCCCAAAGAAGUACCCUUUAAGCUUAAUUGAUUAUGAUCUUCU